This is a long non-coding RNA of Rosa rugosa (rugosa rose), 1079 nucleotides long. RefSeq lists it as uncharacterized. The record is from RefSeq and is a predicted model, not a curated record. NCBI's taxonomy places the organism in Eukaryota, Viridiplantae, Streptophyta, Magnoliopsida, Rosales, Rosaceae. The transcript is spliced from 8 exons.
AGAAGCCUCCCAGACCGACUUUUUUGCUCUCUUUUCUUCCUCUUUCUCCUUCACUCCCUCAGACGACUACCUCCUCAACUGCGGCUCUUCCUCCAACGCCGCCUUCUUCAACCACUUUAAGUUGUUGGGUUUACACAAGAAGUGAAACACAGAGACACAUCCGUUCGAUCUUUUGUUGUUGGUUGCUUAUCAAAGGAGUGUUGAGAACGAGAGGAUUUUCAUCUGUGCCCUGUUUGCCGGCAUGAAAGUUUUUGCUGGAUCUUCAGGAUUGCCUGCUUUUCUGAGUUAAAGUUUUGCAGUUCUCUAAGGUUGAAUUGCUCCCACAAGGCUUGGAAACCUGGUUUCAAUUGUUUCCAGUAGGUUUGGACAUCCGGUUUCUUUUACAGAAGAAAUACUGAAAGCGAAGUAGAGAUUCAUAGAAAGAUUUGGAUCAGGUUUGGGAGGGAUCUUUCAGCAAAAGAAGAGACACUAGAAACGGUGUGCUAUCAGCUUCUGUAACUGUGGAUUCAGUUAUGGCGUCAAAGAUGAGAUGCAGCAGAACAAAAAAAAUUGAUACAACAAGGUCAUGCUGAAAAUUAUAAUGAUCAAAGGAGAAUGCAAGAAAUCUAUAAUCAUCAGAAUUUUGUUUCCAGUACAGUUCAAAGUGAAGGUUCUGUUUUUAAAAGAGGUCAACAUUCUGAGGUUAAAUCAAGGAUAUCAAGACGUGCAUUUGAGUUAGCAAUGACAGAACAGAAUCAAUGUCUAGACAGUCAGUAUAGUUCUGUAUGUCAAAAUGUGAAUAUAUCUGAACAUCAGAACAAACGAUUUAGAGAUCAUCAACAAUGGCAGCAAACAUUACGAAUGAAAUGAGUAUAUGUUUCAGGCAAUUGGAAUGUGAGAAGAAGACUGCUUAAAGUGAGGUUGACGCUUUGAAUCAAGAGUUCAAAUAAACUUCCACAUGGAAGUUACAUGUGCAAAUACCUAUAAAAGGAAAACUAUCCGAAACUUUAUAAACGUAUUCUUAAUUUCACCAAUUUAGUUAAUGUUGAUAACUAAUGUAUGUAAUUUGCUUUCAUUUUGUCUCGAUCUGUCAUUCCUUA